Molecule: unclassified non-coding RNA, 377 nt
Filed under: plant metagenome
Description: partial contains 5.8S ribosomal RNA, internal transcribed spacer 2, and large subunit ribosomal RNA
Rfam family: 5.8S ribosomal RNA (bases 1-104)
Source: RNAcentral
AAAUGCGAUAAGUAAUGUGAAUUGCAGAAUUCAGUGAAUCAUCGAAUCUUUGAACGCACCUUGCGCUCCUUGGUAUUCCUUGGAGCAUGCCAGUUUGAGUAUCAUGAAAUCUUCAAAGUAAAUCUUUUGUUAACUCAAUUGGUUUCUACUUUGGUAUUGGAGGUCUUUGCAGCUUCACACCUGCUCCUCUUUGUUCAUUAGCUGGAUCUCAGUGUUAUGCUUGGUUCCACUCGGCGUGAUAAGUUAUCUAUCGCUGAGGACACUGUAAAAGGUGGCCAAGGUAAAUGCAGAUGAACCGCUUCUAAUAGUCCAUUGACUUGGACAAUACUUUUAUGAUCUGAUCUCAAAUCAGGUAGGACUACCCGCUGAACUUAAGC